This 245-nucleotide ribosomal RNA is filed under the name uncultured Desulfovibrio sp. RNAcentral's name for it is "partial 16S ribosomal RNA". It matches the Rfam family "Bacterial small subunit ribosomal RNA", at positions 524 to 768 of the family's 1533-position model. Lineage: Bacteria; Pseudomonadati; Thermodesulfobacteriota; Desulfovibrionia; Desulfovibrionales; Desulfovibrionaceae. The record is from RNAcentral.
UACGUAGGUGGCGAGCGUUAAUCGGAAUCACUGGGCGUAAAGCGCUCGUAGGUGGCUUUGUAAGUCAGGUGUGAAAGCCCACGGCUCAACCGUGGAAUUGCACUUGAUACUGCAUUGCUUGAGUUCGGGAGAGGGUAGUGGAAUUCCAGGUGUAGGAGUGAAAUCCGUAGAGAUCUGGAGGAACACCAGUGGCGAAGGCGACUACCUGGACCGAUACUGACACUGAGGAGCGAAAGCGUGGGGAG